Molecule: unclassified non-coding RNA, 355 nt
Filed under: soil metagenome
Description: partial contains 5.8S ribosomal RNA, internal transcribed spacer 2, and large subunit ribosomal RNA
Rfam family: 5.8S ribosomal RNA (bases 1-120)
Source: RNAcentral
GAUGAAGAACGUAGCGAAAUGCGAUAAGUAAUGUGAAUUGCAGAAUUCAGUGAAUCAUCGAAUCUUUGAACGCACAUUGCACCCGCCAGUAUUCUGGCGGGCAUGCCUGUCCGAGCGUCAUUUCAACCCUCGAACCCCUCCGGGGGGUCGGCGUUGGGGAUCGGCCCUGCCUCUUGGCGGUGGCCGUCUCCGAAAUACAGUGGCGGUCUCGCCGCAGCCUCUCCUGCGCAGUAGUUUGCACACUCGCAUCGGGAGCGCGGCGCGUCCACAGCCGUUAAACACCCAACUUCUGAAAUGUUGACCUCGGAUCAGGUAGGAAUACCCGCUGAACUUAAGCAUAUCAAUAAGCGGAGGA